This 642-nucleotide long non-coding RNA is filed under the name Olea europaea (common olive). RNAcentral describes it as "long non-coding RNA (OEUR_LNC004360)". Lineage: Eukaryota; Viridiplantae; Streptophyta; Magnoliopsida; Lamiales; Oleaceae. The record is from RNAcentral.
UGGUGAUGAGGUGGCAGUAGGUUUUUAGUUGAUGAUAGAGGUUCUCUGUGUCUAUUUCUUUGCCAAUUUUGAUCUGACUAUAGGAUGUGGUGCCCCUAGCUUGCAGCUGGCUUGCAAGCAUUACCAAACCUAAACAAAUACAAAUGCUUACGUGAAGAUAUACAUACAUUCAGAAAUCAAAGGGAGGGGCUGGUGGCAGGGGCAAGCAGCUGACAAACCCACAACCUACAGCCACAAUCAAGCAACAACUGCCAAACUAAAUUGAUGAUCGCACAGGGUCUUGGAAAAUUGGGAAAGGCAGAGGACAAAAGGGGGAACUGUGCAUUUGAACGAACAUCUAAAGGUUAGAUCAAUCUACAGCUUCAAAAAGAUAGAAGAUGAAAUUAGAUUUGUUGCCAGCUAUUUUUGCCCACAUCUGAGAUUGUGGUGAUGAGGUGGCAGUAGGUUUUUAGUUGAUGAUAGAGGUUCUCUGUGUCUAUUUCUUUGCCAAUUUUGAUCUGACUAUAGGAUGUGGUGCCCCUAGCUUGCAGCUGGCUUGCAAGAGUCAACAAUGGCUCGUUGUAACUAGCUGGUGGUGGUCAGCCAGUGAGCCCUUUAGGAAGCCAAUUUGAAUCUUCAGGUCCCGAAUUGGGUUGAUUGUGG